Harmonia axyridis is the source of this 859-nucleotide long non-coding RNA. RefSeq lists it as uncharacterized. Lineage: Eukaryota; Metazoa; Arthropoda; Insecta; Coleoptera; Coccinellidae. The transcript has 2 exons. The record is from RefSeq and is a predicted model, not a curated record.
AUUUUUUAACUCUUUCAAGUACAGUGGUUCAAAUUUUGAACCACGCUUUUUUUGUACGGUGCAGGACGGUGGGGUAAAAUUUAAACCACCAUAUAUUCAGUCUUCUACCCAAAAGGGACACGGGUUUAAAUCGUACACCACUAUUGCGGACCGUUUAUUGGGUUAUACAGAGUAUUAUGACUCAUUUUGUUUUGACUGGAAACGGUUGUUCAUUCGAGAAAUGCGUAUGAUUUGUAUCAUUCCGCCGCGGCCGGCUUACGCGAUAUUCUUUUAGUGUGAAAACGUUAUUCUUUUGAAAGAUACUUUAGAAAACUAGUGGAAUAUAGUCUACAGGACUUAUUGAAGGUGUUCAAAAAUUGUACCACCGUACUGCAGUGCAUUAUGAAUAGAAGGAAUGAACCUCCCUCAUUCAAUUUGGUCGGAAUGUCAGUAGAUGAAUUUUACGAUGAAAUUGAGCGAAUUGAGAAUGGUGACUGUGUUUCGAUACCUUCCAAUAAUGUUUCGGACAACGACAGCGACUUGGAAGACGAUACGGUCGAAUUACUGGAAGAGGAGGAUGGCAAUGUAGAAUUGAGCUUUCAUUCAGAUGAGGAUGAAUGGAACACAAGUGACAAUUUGCCAUGAUGGGCAUAAAAAAAUAUCGUCGGUGAGACUAACAGAAAGUACACAUCAACCAAUGAGGACAAGCCGCAGAAGAUGUGCGCAUUGCAGCACAAAAAGUCAGAUGUGAGAACAAACUGGCAAUGCAGUGUAUGCCAAGUUCCCCUGUGACUAGGGAAAAAUAAGAGCUGCUUUCAAACUUAUCAUAGAAAAUUAUUUUAUAUAAAUGUUAUUUGAAAAAUAAAAAAAAGGCAGAAUU